Molecule: ribosomal RNA, 397 nt
Filed under: uncultured organism
Description: bacterial SSU rRNA
Rfam family: Bacterial small subunit ribosomal RNA
Source: RNAcentral
UGCCUAACACAUGCAAGUCGAACGCAUAUUUUGUAGCAAUACAGAGUAUGAGUGGCGCACGGGUGAGUAACACGUGGGUAAUCUGCCUUCAAGAGGGGGAUAACCUGCCGAAAGGCGGGCUAAUACCGCAUAAGACCACAGUCCCUGAGGGGACAGAGGUCAAAGAUGGCGCAAGCUAUCACUUGAAGAUGAGCCCGCGGCCCAUCAGCUAGUUGGUAGGGUAAUGGCCUACCAAGGCGAUGACGGGUAGCUGGUCUGAGAGGACGACCAGCCACACUGGAACUGAGACACGGUCCAGACUCCUACGGGAGGCAGCAGUGGGGAAUAUUGGACAAUGGGCGAAAGCCUGAUCCAGCAACGCCGCGUGGGUGAUGAAGGCCUUCGGGUCGUAAAGCCC